Molecule: ribosomal RNA, 109 nt
Filed under: Escherichia coli
Lineage: Bacteria; Pseudomonadati; Pseudomonadota; Gammaproteobacteria; Enterobacterales; Enterobacteriaceae
Also listed under: 6 other names
Description: partial 16S ribosomal RNA
Rfam family: Bacterial small subunit ribosomal RNA (bases 1-97)
Source: RNAcentral
AACCUUCGGGAGGGCGCUUACCACUUUGUGAUUCAUGACUGGGGUGAAGUCGUAACAAGGUAACCGUAGGGGAACCUGCGGUUGGAUCACCUCCUUACCUUAAAGAAGC